GGGGGAAUGGCUCAGUGGCAGAGCGCAUGCUUAGCAUGCACAAGGUCUGAGGUUCAAUUCCCAGCACCUCCA
RNAcentral lists this transfer RNA (72 nucleotides) under Camelus ferus (Wild Bactrian camel). It matches the Rfam family "tRNA". Rfam says of the family: Transfer RNA (tRNA) molecules are approximately 80 nucleotides in length. The record is from Rfam by way of RNAcentral. Lineage: Eukaryota; Metazoa; Chordata; Mammalia; Artiodactyla; Camelidae.